This 295-nucleotide long non-coding RNA is filed under the name Hordeum vulgare. Its description in RNAcentral is "long non-coding RNA (HVUL_LNC012032)". Lineage: Eukaryota; Viridiplantae; Streptophyta; Magnoliopsida; Poales; Poaceae. The record is from RNAcentral.
GAAGAAGAGGAUAAAGGAAAAAAGGAAGAAGAGGAGGAAGAAGAAGAAGAAGAAGAAGAAGAAGAAUAGGAGGAGGAGGAGGAUAAGAAGAAGAAGAAGAAGAUGAUGAUGAUGAUGAUGAAGAAGAAGAAGAAGGAUAAGAAGAAAAAGAGGAGAGGAGGAGAAGAAUAACAGGAAAAAGUAAAAGAAGAAUAAGAAGAGAAGAAGAAGAAGAAGAAAAAGAAGAAGAAGAAGAAAAGGAUGAAAAUGUAGAAGAAGAAGAAGAAGAAGGAGAAGUAGAAAAGGAAGAAUAGGA